CUUUAUACUUCAACUUACUUCAUAUAAUCUGGUAUACAUAACCCUGACUCUGUUGUUGAAUGAGGUCUUGCUGCAUACUCUUCCAGACUUACAUAAACAUAAACAAACAUCAUAGCUACCUACAUAUCUAAUAUCUAUCCUCCAGUACCUAUAUCAAUAUGCAUUGCCUUUGUUUACCAACAGAUCAUAGUACACACGCCACGUGAUUCACAAAUAGCAGCAAUUCAAGGUUGGAUUAAUUGUGCCUCUGUUGCAUAUGUCACGUGACAUAGGUACAUAUCUUCUCAUUCCAAAUAAAAGUGUGUUUAGAAGACUAAUUUAUAAAAAUAAGUUAGAACUCACUGCUCGAGUUUGAGCCAUUUUGUUUCCAUUUGUAGUUUCAACAUUUCAAGCAUUACAAAGUAUUGCAGUUUAUAGUAAAAAUUAGCUUGAAAUUAGUGUAAAAAUAAAUCCCACUACUAAAGUUCUUCUUUUAUCUGGCCCCUCUGACAAAACGCUUGAACUGGGCUUCCCCGAGUACCGAGAGUGCCUGCUUUUUUGGUCUCUUGGUCUGUCCUAUCAGAAAAUCCGUAAAACAAGAGGGACGUCUGCCGGUUACGAACGGAAGGUUUCCGACGGGACUUGGCAGAACCCACAACAGCAGUAUGAACCCGGCGUGGACGUAAUUGCUCGCAUGAGCAACCGAAGAGCGACUUCCAGGCGAAGCUGCCGCAGAAUGCCUGGAGAUGCGCUGGGACAUGGAUGAUAGCAAGGUGGCUCUCAGCGGCAGCUGACCGCUGAGAUGUGUCUGAAACAGCCAGAAGAAAGACUCGAGUUGUGGAUCCAGGGCACUACUGAACGGAAGGCCGGACCAGCUGUAGGGAGACUACAGAAAAGCCGUCGUUCUCAAUCUGCUGAACAGACACCUACUGCAGAGGAUCAACUGGGGUUCGACGUGUUAGAACUGGGGUUAGACCGGUUGCCGGUUACCAGUGCUCGUGUUCGUCACCUGUUGUUUGUCACUGCUGCGCUGCUGCUGUAAUGUUUGCCACCUGCUAAGCGUUCACAAUGUAUUUUAAGUGAAUAACUUUUUCAGUGUUUGUCUUGAUUUGUAACGAGUAUAUCAAUUAUCAAGCAUGUUAACCUUUCAUCAAAUGAAGGACUCCACAUAAAAAUAGUAUAGGCUGUGGUGGUACAGACACAUACCAUGCUUGGCCGACUGUUGUGUAUUGAUCUAGUCGUUGAAGCGUCCUGAAAGUCUGGAAAUAAACAGGCAUGACCAAAUGGAUUGGUUUUAAUUAUUUUCCUGUGCGGUUUUAUCGUUUCCCUAUUG
Long non-coding RNA from Amphibalanus amphitrite, 1312 nucleotides. RefSeq lists it as uncharacterized. Lineage: Eukaryota; Metazoa; Arthropoda; Thecostraca; Balanomorpha; Balanidae. The record is from RefSeq and is a predicted model, not a curated record. The transcript is spliced from 3 exons.